This 485-nucleotide ribosomal RNA is filed under the name Amblyodipsas microphthalma. Its description in RNAcentral is "partial 16S ribosomal RNA". It matches the Rfam family "Bacterial large subunit ribosomal RNA", at positions 1795 to 2578 of the family's 2925-position model. Lineage: Eukaryota; Metazoa; Chordata; Lepidosauria; Squamata; Lamprophiidae. The record is from RNAcentral.
UCCGACUGUUUAACAAAAACAUAACCUUUAGCCCAAACAAGUAUUAAAGGCAACGCCUGCCCAGUGAAUAAUUAAACGGCCGCGGUACCCUAACCGUGCAAAGGUAGCGUAAUCACUUGUYUAUUAAUUGUAGACCCGUAUGAAAGGCAAAAUGAGGGCCUAACUGUYUYUUAUAAUAAAUCAAUUAAACUGAUCUCCCAGUACAAAAGCUGGAAUACCAACAUAAGACCAGAAGACCCUGUGAAGCUUAAACUAAACUAUUAAAACACAUAAUAGCUCCUUUCGGUUGGGGSGACCUUGGAAAAAAAAAGAACUUCCAAACGGCCAACAAGCCUUAAACCUGACCCAGCAAGACUGACAACUGAACCAAGUUACUCCAGGGAUAACAGCGCUAUCUUCCUCAAGAGCCCAUAUCAAAAGGAAGGUUUACGACCUCGAUGUUGGAUCAGGACAUCCUAAUGGUGCAGCCGCUAUAAGGUCGUUGU